CAAGAAAGGAGAUCCAAACCCGGGUUCCAAAAGAAAGUAUCCACCAGCGCUCCAUGACAUUCCAUUUAGCUAAUGCAAUGGGAGAAUGGUGACCCUAAAGAAUUUAUGAAGCUUGAGCUACUCAAGACUGAUGUAUCUCCUCUAUCCUUCCGGUCCUGAGGAAGACCCUUCGCAUGAUGGAGGAGUUUGUCCACUUCCCGAAAGCACCCGGCUCAGGGGUUAAAUUCUUAUGAUUGCCCAGAGGUCUUGAGACCCCACUGGAGAAACACAGCUUUAAGGUAUUGCUCGGUGACU
RNAcentral lists this long non-coding RNA (294 nucleotides) under Ursus americanus (American black bear). RNAcentral's name for it is "lncRNA (ENSUAMG00000008209.1)". The record is from RNAcentral. Lineage: Eukaryota; Metazoa; Chordata; Mammalia; Carnivora; Ursidae.